CUUGGUCAUUUAGAGGAAGUAAAAGUCGUAACAAGGUUUCCGUAGGUGAACCUGCGGAAGGAUCAUUAACGUAUCUCUGACGGGGUUCGGUGCGCCCUGCUCCGGUCGACAACGGCCGUGCAGCGGGUUCCCGUCCCUGUUCACACCUCACAAACCCACUGUGAACCUUCACGGCGGAAGGGAGGCGACUCCCCGAGGCCGCAUACCAAACCCCAGUUGUAAAGAAUGUCGUGCGGACUUUGCGCCGCCUAAAACACAAAACAACUUUCAACAACGGAUCUCUUGGCUCUCGCAUCGAUGAAGAACGCAGCGAAAUGCGAUAAGUAAUGUGAAUUGCAGAAUUCAGUGAAUCAUCGAAUCUUUGAACGCACCUUGCGCUCCUUGGUAUUCCGAGGAGCAUGCCUGUUUGAGUGUCUUGAAGUCAUCAACCCCUCCCGUUUCGUGCGUGGAAGGGUUGGAUGUGGGGGCUCUGCUGCCGUGAGGCGGCUCCCCUCAAAUGCAUCGGUUGGGCCUGUGGGUCGAACUCGACUGGGCGUUGUACCAUCCUCGCUCGACAGAGACGUUCCCCUCCUGCGCCCUCCCCCGACCUGCCUAUCAGAGCGGCGGUCAAGCAACAAACUUUGAAAUCUGACCUCAAAUCAGGUAGGACUACCCGCUGAACUUAAGCAUAUCAAUAAGCGGAGGAAAAGAAACUAACAAGGAUUCCCCUAGUAACUGCGAGUGAAGCGGGAAAAGCUCAAAUUUGAAAUCUGGCGGCUCCGUCGCCCGAGUUGUAUUCUGGAGAAGCGUCUUCCGCGUCGGACCGUGUACAAGUGCCUUGGAACAGGACGUCAUAGAGGGUGAGAAUCCCGUCUUUGACACGGACGCCCGAUGCUCUGUGAUGCGCUCUCGAAGAGUCGAGUUGUUUGGGAAUGCAGCUCAAAACGGGUGGUAAAUUCCAUCUAAAGCUAAAUAUUGGCGAGAGACCGAUAGCGAACAAGUACCGUGAGGGAAAGAUGAAAAGCACUUUGGAAAGAGAGUAAAACAGUACGUGAAAUUGUUGAAAGGGAAACGCUUGAAGU
Molecule: ribosomal RNA, 1061 nt
Filed under: uncultured Basidiomycota
Lineage: Eukaryota; Fungi; Basidiomycota
Description: eukaryotic LSU rRNA
Rfam family: Eukaryotic large subunit ribosomal RNA (bases 629-1061)
Source: RNAcentral